AGUCAAUAGAUACCCUGGUAGUCCACGCCCUAAACGAUGUCGACUGGUUGUUGGGGGUUUGACACUCUCAGUAAACGAAAGCUAAACGCGUGAAGUCGACCGCCUGGGGAGUACGGCCGCAAGGUUAAAACUCAAAGGAAUUGACGGGGACCCGCACAAGCGGUGGAUUAUGUGGAUUAAUUCGAUGCAACGCGAAAAACCUUACCUACCCUUGACAUGUCCGGAAGGCUUAAGAGAUUAGGCUGUGCCCGAAAGGGAACCGGAACACAGGUGCUGCAUGGCUGUCGUCAGCUCGUGUCGUGAGAUGUUGGGUUAAGUCCCGCAACGAGCGCAACCCUUGUCAUUAGUUGCUACAUUCAGUUGGGCACUCUAAUGAGACUGCCGGUGACAAACCGGAGGAAGGUGGGGAUGACGUCAAGUCCUCAUGGCCCUUAUGGGUAGGGCUUCACACGUAAUACAAUGGCGCGUACAGAGGGUUGCCAAGCCGCGAGGUGGAGCCAAUCCCUUAAAGCGCGUCGUAGUCCGGAUUGCAGUCUGCAACUCGACCGC
RNAcentral lists this ribosomal RNA (549 nucleotides) under uncultured bacterium. RNAcentral's name for it is "bacterial SSU rRNA". It matches the Rfam family "Bacterial small subunit ribosomal RNA", at positions 774 to 1319 of the family's 1533-position model. The record is from RNAcentral.